AUUGAACGCUGGCGGCGGGCCUAACACAUGCAAGUCGAGCGGAUGAAGGGAGCUUGCUCCUGGAUUCAGCGGCGGACGGGUGAGUAAUGCCUAGGAAUCUGCCUGGUAGUGGGGGAUAACGUCCGGAAACGGGCGCUAAUACCGCAUACGUCCUGAGGGAGAAAGUGGGGGAUCUUCGGACCUCACGCUAUCAGAUGAGCCUAGGUCGGAUUAGCUAGUUGGUGGGGUAAAGGCCUACCAAGGCGACGAUCCGUAACUGGUCUGAGAGGAUGAUCAGUCACACUGGAACUGAGACACGGUCCAGACUCCUACGGGAGGCAGCAGUGGGGAAUAUUGGACAAUGGGCGAAAGCCUGAUCCAGCUAUGCCGCGUGUGUGAAGAAGGUCUUCGGAUUGUAAAGCACUUUAAGUUGGGAGGAAGGGCAGUAAGUUAAUACCUUGCUGUUUUGACGUUACCAACAGAAAAAGCACCGGCUAACUUCGUG
Molecule: ribosomal RNA, 484 nt
Filed under: uncultured bacterium
Lineage: Bacteria
Description: partial 16S ribosomal RNA
Rfam family: Bacterial small subunit ribosomal RNA
Source: RNAcentral